AAUAUCAGGCUAUUAAAUUAUUGGUUCAGAUUGCUUUAUAAGUGGAGUAGCUUGAGCAGAUAUUCAUAUUGAGUAGGAUUCUCUGGUGUAUACGAGAUCAGGCACUCAGCUAUAACCACAAUUUUCCGUCAUGAGCUUCAAAAAAAUAUUCUAUGCUAUUUUCAUCGUAGCCCUGACUACUCUCCAUUCAGUUACAGGUCAACCGCCCAUUCGACCGCGUGGCGGCAGAUCAUGUUCGAGUAGGAGCUGCUGAGUGAGGAAAAUAAAUCUCAUAGUGGUUGUUAAAAUUUCUAAAACUAACUAAAUGAGGGUCUUCACUGUUUGUUCAUGUUUUUGAAGGAAAAAUACACAUUUUUCAAAAGUUGA
This is a long non-coding RNA of Nilaparvata lugens (brown planthopper), 366 nucleotides long. RefSeq lists it as uncharacterized. NCBI's taxonomy places the organism in Eukaryota, Metazoa, Arthropoda, Insecta, Hemiptera, Delphacidae. The transcript has 2 exons. The record is from RefSeq and is a predicted model, not a curated record.